AAUGAACGCUGGCGGCAUGCCUAACACAUGCAAGUCGAACGAGACCUUCGGGUCUAGUGGCGCACGGGUGCGUAACGCGUGGGAAUCUGCCCUUGGGUUCGGAAUAACAGUUAGAAAUGACUGCUAAUACCGAAUGAUGUCGUAAGACCAAAGAUUUAUCGCCCAGGGAUGAGCCCGCGUAAGAUUAGGUAGUUGGUGUGGUAAAGGCGCACCAAGCCGACGAUCUUUAGCUGGUCUGAGAGGAUGAUCAGCCACACUGGGACUGAGACACGGCCCAGACUCCUACGGGAGGCAGCAGUGGGGAAGUAUUGGACAAUGGGCGAAAGCCUGAUCCAGCAAUGCCGCGUGAGUGAUGAAGGCCUUAGGGUUGUAAAGCUCUUUUACCCGGGAUGAUAAUGACAGUACCGGGAGAAUAAGCUCCGGCUAACUCCGUGCCAG
RNAcentral lists this ribosomal RNA (438 nucleotides) under uncultured bacterium. RNAcentral's name for it is "bacterial SSU rRNA". It matches the Rfam family "Bacterial small subunit ribosomal RNA", at positions 29 to 511 of the family's 1533-position model. The record is from RNAcentral.